Non-coding RNA from Danio rerio (zebrafish), 1268 nucleotides. NCBI's taxonomy places the organism in Eukaryota, Metazoa, Chordata, Actinopteri, Cypriniformes, Danionidae. The record is from RefSeq and is a predicted model, not a curated record.
AAAAAGGUAUGGCCAAAUGAAGACUCAAAAUCUCCCCAGAGUGGAUGAAAAUAUCCCCAACAGAGCAUAAGAGUUAAAAGUGAAUAUAAAAAGUGUUUGCUCCAGUUUGUCUUAUUUUGAUGAGUUUAGCUCAGCUAUAGGAUCAUUAAAACAAACAUUUUACAAUAUGCCACCGGACGCUGUGUGCUAGAAAAACUUCACCGUCUCUAUUUUGCGCGCUAAUCGUAGUAAGUGCCUUGCGUACUGUUGACAUCAUUAAAGAGCGUACGGCUACAUUUAGGCGAGGGCGCUGCUGUAUCGCACACUAUUCGACAACAAUUACUCUCUUCACUCAGUGAUGUAGAGUUUAGUGAUUGCAGUCAUUUGUAUCACUUACAGCGAUCUAUUUUUAUCGUAUAGUGUUGAGUCUUCCAAUCGCUUUCUCUGUAUAUCAUCGCCUCAUGCGUUCUGUGUUUGGAAAUCGGCGCGCGUCACUAGAGCAGGAGCUCAUGUCAUCUUCUCAGCUCCUGCUUCUGCUGCUGUUGUCUCACUCUCAUGGACCAUCACAUCCAGACAGCUGCUGGACCCUCUGUAGCCCUGUCAACGUCGCGUCUGUGUGUCGAUAGGAAAGACAGCCUAAGAUGAAUGCCAGUGACAAAAUUGAAGCCCCCAUCCACAAGAAAAACACCCUGCUGUCCAUUGUCACCGACUUCUCAGAACAAAAACCAGGGAAAUAGCAACAGAAAAAAAAGUCCACAAGGGAAUGAAAGCUAUGUUGAACAGUUGUUAAAAGUAAGAGCUGUUCAAACUGUUCAGGCUUCACUCUUAAUCCAUCUUCAGAACAGUUUCAAAGUCUUCUGAAGCACAGCGCGUCCUUGAUGUGUGAACAUAAGAGAUGUGAAAAGCAGGACACACUUGUUCACACAGGAUCAGCCGAUCAGCAGGACCCCUGGGAGACUAAUAAUGACAGCAGACUGAUGGUGACAACAACAAGCUGAGCUUCACAGGUCACAGAUCAGAACAGUGUGUGACAGCUGAUCUGAGGGUGGCUGUCUCUGUGUCAGCGAUGCAGCUAUGUGACCAUGAAGACACCGUCUCUGCCACCGGACUGUCCACUGCUGCAGUGGUGGCAAUAGUGUGCAACAUCCUGGUAGCUCUGCUCAUACUAGUUCUCAUAUUAAUCCUCUGCAAAGCAUGCAAGGUUCCCUCCAGCCAGGAGAGCGUCCCGGUGUUGACUUUAGAGAACGCACAGCAGAGCAAUGAGCAGAGGUACUUGCUGACGGCAUGAA